UGAUGACAAAAGUGUGCUAAUUGACUUCCCCGGGCAACCCCAGCAUGUCUGCUACAGACCUCCUGGUAAAGAAGACGCAAAUGCUGGCAAAAGCUCAAGAACCACCACUGCUACGAGAUCAAAUUUUUUUCAGAUGGUGUUUUUUCUUAUAACUACCACUGGCAUUUCUUCUUCCUGCUGGCACACACUGGACACGUUUCAACAACAGAUGGGGUCUUUAUUCCAAGUGAAGUCACCAACCUCAGUUACAACACUGUGUGAAAUCCUGAUCGGAUUUCCCAGGAAAAGGCUGGAUUUACCGUCUUGUACUUAAAGCAGGGGAUGGAAUGUCACCAUCUACAGAAAUCCAAAAACAACAAUCCUGCAUCUUUGCAAUGGUACUUUGAACCCAGGAAAGGAAAACAGCAGUGCUUGUCCCCUUCUCAUUAUCAACGCUAAUAUGCCCUUGAGCAAGGCAGUUAGCCAUCACUGCUCCAGUGGGACUGCU
This is a long non-coding RNA of Micropterus dolomieu (smallmouth bass), 487 nucleotides long. RefSeq lists it as uncharacterized. The transcript is spliced from 3 exons. NCBI's taxonomy places the organism in Eukaryota, Metazoa, Chordata, Actinopteri, Centrarchiformes, Centrarchidae. The record is from RefSeq and is a predicted model, not a curated record.